Molecule: non-coding RNA, 23 nt
Filed under: Arabidopsis thaliana (thale cress)
Lineage: Eukaryota; Viridiplantae; Streptophyta; Magnoliopsida; Brassicales; Brassicaceae
Source: RNAcentral
UGAGUUGAAUGGUUAAAAGCGGA